GGGAUCCUGAGAUUUGGCCUCGGCCUUGGAGGAGAGGUCUCCUUGGUCCUUAAACCAACCUGGGUUGGGAGGCGGGCUCGCCAUUGAUCUGAAGGUGUUACCGGCACCAACCAAUAACACGGUGACCUGCAUUUCCUGAGAUAGGCUGCCCCCAGACCGUGCAGAGAGGGGUCUGGUCAUUUCAAAACUUCAGGCUCAAAUUUGAUCCCAAACUUUCUUCUUCCUCCACAAGGAGUCCCAUGGAGCCUGAAUAAUUGACAGUGUGGUCAGCAGCUGACCGCUACUUCCAAGCGUGGUGGAAAUUGACUGGGUCAACAUUUACUGCCCCAGCCCCAGGAGGCCCCGGGGGUCAGAGGGUCAUAAAAAGAACUACACUCUCGUCAGAUGGUGUCCACGCACAGACAGCACUGCAGGGAGAGAGGAAGUGGCAGCUUUUGUUCUUAUAACCUUGUGA
This is a long non-coding RNA of Bos taurus (domestic cattle), 454 nucleotides long. NCBI's taxonomy places the organism in Eukaryota, Metazoa, Chordata, Mammalia, Artiodactyla, Bovidae. The record is from Ensembl.